This 489-nucleotide ribosomal RNA is filed under the name uncultured Actinomycetales bacterium. RNAcentral's name for it is "bacterial SSU rRNA". It matches the Rfam family "Bacterial small subunit ribosomal RNA", at positions 92 to 595 of the family's 1533-position model. Lineage: Bacteria; Bacillati; Actinomycetota; Actinomycetes; Actinomycetales. The record is from RNAcentral.
UUAGUGGCGAACGGGUGAGUAACACGUGAGCAAUCUGCCCUUGACUCUGGGAUAACUGCGGGAAACUGUAGCUAAUACCGGAUACGACGUACGGAGGCAUCUCCUGUACGUGGAAAGAAUUUUGGUCAAGGAUGAGCUCGCGGCCUAUCAGCUAGUUGGUGAGGUAAUGGCUCACCAAGGCGGCGACGGGUAGCCGGCCUGAGAGGGUGACCGGCCACACUGGAACUGAGACACGGUCCAGACUCCUACGGGAGGCAGCAGUGGGGAAUAUUGCACAAUGGGCGAAAGCCUGAUGCAGCAACGCCGCGUGAGGGAUGAAGGCCUUCGGGUUGUAAACCUCUUUUAGUUGGGAAGAAGCGAAAGUGACGGUACCAACAGAAAAAGCACCGGCUAACUACGUGCCAGCAGCCGCGGUAAUACGUAGGGUGCAAGCGUUGUCCGGAAUUAUUGGGCGUAAAGAGCUCGUAGGCGGUUUGUCGCGUCUGCUGU